AUUAAUGGAUUCCAUUUUGGCACGUGAUCUUAUUUGGUCUCACAAGCUAAACAGAGUGGGACAUAGUCAGUAGCUGGAUAUGGGUCUCUGAACA
RNAcentral lists this ribosomal RNA (94 nucleotides) under Crocodylus porosus (Australian saltwater crocodile). Lineage: Eukaryota; Metazoa; Chordata; Crocodylia; Crocodylidae. The record is from RNAcentral.